This 73-nucleotide transfer RNA is filed under the name Bacteriophage sp. RNAcentral's name for it is "tRNA-Glu". It matches the Rfam family "tRNA". Rfam says of the family: Transfer RNA (tRNA) molecules are approximately 80 nucleotides in length. The record is from RNAcentral.
GGUCUGUUCGUCUAGCGGUCUAGGACAUCGCCCUUUCACGGCGGCAACAGGAGUUCAAAUCUCCUACAGAUCA